UUUUUACCAUAAGUAUGUCCCAUGCAAUAUUUGGGACAUACUUAUACUAAAG
RNAcentral lists this microRNA precursor (52 nucleotides) under Callithrix jacchus (white-tufted-ear marmoset). RNAcentral describes it as "mir-1302 microRNA precursor family". It matches the Rfam family "mir-1302 microRNA precursor family". The record is from Rfam by way of RNAcentral. Lineage: Eukaryota; Metazoa; Chordata; Mammalia; Primates; Cebidae.